CACCCCGAGCUGUCAGGCGUUCCGCCGCGGCCGCGAGGCCCGCCGGCCGGCUAGGAGCUACGCCCGGACGGCCAGCAGGCUCGCGGGAGUGGGGCGGCCGCGGCUGAGGCGAGGCGGGCCGCGCGCGUCGGCGUCAGAGCCCGCGGCAGAGGCGCCCAGGGCGGCCGGGCCCACGACGCCGAAAGCGCCGCUGCGGUUGCCGCCUCGGAGGCUCCCCCGGGCCCCGGCGGCUGGACCCGGCGCGGGCGGGAGCCUCGGGCGGGCGGUCUGGCCCGGGACUCGGGUUUGGGCGACCAGGAGGCGCCGGUGGCCGCGCUCGGACCCGGUGACUUAAGAGGUUAAAAUUAAUUUGGUUGCUGAUGGUUCUGAACAAAUAGAGUUCUUUUAUUUGAGGUAUGCCAUUUUGAAGACUGAGACAUUGGAGUUUUAUCCUAGAGGAUAAAGGAAAUCUUUGGGAAAGUCAGUAUUUUAUAUAGCAAAAAUAUGAACCUCAAACUGAAUCCUCUAAGGCCCCAUACAAUGAAGUAGACAUUGGUGGAAGCAUUUACACCCAGUCAGCUUGAAGAGUUUCAAAUGGACCCUACCACUGAGAAAUCAAGAUGGCAGUCUACUAUGGGGAAUUGAGGAAAAUGGAUUAAUACAAGAGUCCUGUGAUAAUAUACAACCAAGACAGGGUUCUUUUAACAUGGAUUCCAUGCAGUGAAUGAAGACAUAGGUUUCUUACCCAACACAAAUGGACAGUGGAUUUGACUUUCUAAAGACUUUUUUUUGUGGACAUUUUGACAUUUGGAGAAGAAAG
RNAcentral lists this long non-coding RNA (799 nucleotides) under Pongo abelii (Sumatran orangutan). Its description in RNAcentral is "lincRNA". The record is from RNAcentral. Lineage: Eukaryota; Metazoa; Chordata; Mammalia; Primates; Hominidae.